UCACAAUGACCCCCCCACAGCAGGUUCGUGGAGCCGGACCCCAGCCACACACUGGAGGAGCGGGUGGUGCACUGGUAUUUCGCCCAGCUGGACGCCAACGGCAGCCAGGACGUCGGCAAGAAGGAACUGAAGCCUUUCAAAAGGUACCUGAAGAAGAAGGCCAAGCCCAAGAAGUGCGCCCGCAAGUUCAUCGACUACUGCGACCUGAACAAGGACAAGGCCAUCUCGCUGCACGAGCUCAAGGGCUGCCUAGGAGUCGGCAAGGACGGUGGUUCAACAGCCGGCAGCAACUACGGGACAAGGCAAGGGACAAAUGUGUUCACAGGUCGCCUGGUGUGAGAGGAGAAAGUUCCCGGAGCCGAGACGAGAGCAGAGGGCACAGAAGGAAGGCAUCAGCACGCUCGCAUGACGGUGAAAAAAAAAAAGACUGAUCGGAGAGAAAAUAACUUCCUGACUUGUUCUACACACACACACACACACACACACACACACACACACACACAUACGCGCAAAACAGAAGAAAAUGAAGCAGCGCCAAAAUAUUUGCACUUUCUCCUCCAUGUUUGCAUUUUGGUUUGCUUGUGGUGUUUCUGCCAAGAGUCAGAAUAUAUCUACAGUUAUAUGUAAAAGUCGUCACGUCACAAGUGGAGCAUGUGCAUAAAUGUUAGCAGUUAGCCGGCGAAAGUGCACAUGGCUCUCAACUAGGGAUGGGCAUCAUCUCGAUUGUUUAGAAAAAAAAAAAAGAAGUCCAAGGAUGGUGCGGAAUCGCGUCUCGAAGCAGCGCCGGGUCGAAAUUUGUGGUCUGCAAAAGACCGACACGACAUUGUGACAUUUAUGGGCAUUGAAACGGGGGGUUCAGAACAUUCAGAGUGAUUCUCAUGUCUCAUU
Molecule: long non-coding RNA, 888 nt
Organism: Hippocampus comes (tiger tail seahorse)
Lineage: Eukaryota; Metazoa; Chordata; Actinopteri; Syngnathiformes; Syngnathidae
Exons: 3
Source: RefSeq, a predicted model, not a curated record